Molecule: long non-coding RNA, 700 nt
Organism: Nyctereutes procyonoides (raccoon dog)
Lineage: Eukaryota; Metazoa; Chordata; Mammalia; Carnivora; Canidae
Exons: 4
Source: RefSeq, a predicted model, not a curated record
UAGACAGCAUGGAAAAGUUCAACAUCAUAGAAUCUAAAGACCUGUGUGGACCUGGUCAAGCUGACCAUGUCCAGAGAAAAUGUCCCUUGAAGUAGGUAUAUUUUGAUGGCCACACCAUUGAAAUAUAAGUUACUCUGAUGACAGAAAAGAAGAUACCACUCAUCUUUAUGAUUUCAUCUUGCCUAUGCUAUGGACUGAAUAUAUUUAACCUCGGACAUCUUUAAGAGCCUCGAUGUGUGUUUCCUGGUUGGAGCUAAUGAAUUUAUCAGGUUGCUUACAGUUCAACGGUUAAACAGGGUUCAUUUGAUAAUAAGAUGAAGAAUAGAGCUUUGUCAACUAUAAAGCACCAUGAAAAAUUGAGAAUUAAUAUUUCUACCUUAUGCAUAUAUUCAAGAUGAUCCCUUACUUGGAGAUAAUGGCUCAGAGAGAUUAUUUAAAGAGAAAACUGGAAAUAUUUUGACAUUUUUUAUGUGUUGGGGAUGACAGGAAGCCAAAGAUGUUACAUUUUCAAGGUUAGUGAAUGUGAUUGUGAUGGAGUGAUGGUGUCAUACAUUGAAAAAAGGAUCAUAGGAAAAGAUGUUUUAUUUUGAAAUUGAGAUACAAUUCAUGUAACAAAAUUCAUCCUUUUAAACUACAAAAUUCAGUGGUUUUUGAUAUAUUCACAGAGUUGUGUAACCAUCACCCUAUCUACUUUAGAAUG